Molecule: long non-coding RNA, 509 nt
Organism: Paramisgurnus dabryanus
Lineage: Eukaryota; Metazoa; Chordata; Actinopteri; Cypriniformes; Cobitidae
Source: RefSeq, a predicted model, not a curated record
GCGACAUCUAGUGACGACAUUUACCGGGCUUUAACGGUUGUUGCUGCAUGAAGUCUGCUGCAAUUUCUCUGAGAUUUCUCAAGAUCAUCAGUUUGGACAGAAUUCAUUUGAAGAAUUAAUAGCACUAGCAGGUUUCAUUAAAGGCUGGAACAGAACAGACAGAAAAGAAUCUGUCAGAAGAAAUUCAACUACUGUUCGUGCACCAGAUGGUGAAGUAGAAAAGUUCGUAAAAACUUCUGCAGCUUACAUCUGACAGAGAUGCAAAAAGAAUAAGAGAGCGGGCCUGAAAACAAGCAAAUUCAAGGUAUUUCAAUUGUUGUUAAAGGGAUAGUUCAAUAGAUAUUCUUUCAUCAUUUACUCAUCCUCAUGUUGUUCUAAAUCUGCAUGAUUUUUUCUGAUGAACACAAAUUAAGAUGUUUUGCGUAAUGAUGGUAAAAACACAGCACAUUGUAACCAUUGACUUCCAUAGUAGGAAAAAGUAUUUUGAAAGUAUUGUGAUAUAUGAUGAA